Long non-coding RNA from Chiroxiphia lanceolata (lance-tailed manakin), 507 nucleotides. RefSeq lists it as uncharacterized. The transcript is spliced from 3 exons. NCBI's taxonomy places the organism in Eukaryota, Metazoa, Chordata, Aves, Passeriformes, Pipridae. The record is from RefSeq and is a predicted model, not a curated record.
UGGAACACACCACAAUCCUUCCUCAUCCCUUGCUGCUGCAGGAAUCUCCCGUUCUGCGUGUUCUGGGCUCCUGUUGUGCUUCCAAAGUGGUGUAACUCUCCAUUCCUGUUGGCAUCAUCUGAGAUUGAGUCCUCGGGAACAUAUGGAGUGCACGGAGUGAGAAUGGAUUCCGUGAUGCUCUUCGUGUCUGCUGGCUGGGAAGUAAUUGCAGCAGAAAAAGAAGAAAUCACCAACUUGUACUGGCAUGUUCUUCUGCCUGCUUAGAUUUAUAAAUUUUCCAUCAGAAGACUUUAAAACACUUCUGGGAGGUGGAUAUCAUUGUCCUGUUCUUAUAGAAAAGGAAACUGAGGCAGAAGGAGACAGAAUGACUUUUGCCACAGUCACACUGGAAAUCACUGCAGAGGCAGAAGGGAAUCCUGAUUUUCCCAGAUCCACAUCAGAUCCUAAUCUACUACUGGUCUGGCCUAUUGGAGGCCAGAUUUAAAUUGAUAUAAAACUCUGUAUGUG